This is a non-coding RNA of Trametes punicea, 94 nucleotides long. NCBI's taxonomy places the organism in Eukaryota, Fungi, Basidiomycota, Agaricomycetes, Polyporales, Polyporaceae. The record is from the annotation of a GenBank genome assembly.
GCCGGGAUAGCUCAGCUGGGAGAGCAACAGACUGAAGAGCUUCUCGGAGGCUUGUAACUUCUGGAGGUCGCGUGUUCAAUCCACGCUCCUGGCA